Molecule: long non-coding RNA, 616 nt
Filed under: Homo sapiens (human)
Lineage: Eukaryota; Metazoa; Chordata; Mammalia; Primates; Hominidae
Description: HSALNT0404410
Source: RNAcentral
CAUUUCUGACUCUCUAGUUCUUAUCUUCUUUUUUUCCUUAGAGAGAGCGAGAGAGAGAGAGAGAGAUCAUGCUAUGCUGGCGCAGUCAACCCAAGCUCAAGCUGUCUCCAGCACUGCUUGUGAGCCGGGCCCACGUUGCUGCCCAGGGACUCGGUGGUGAGGGAGGUGUGAUGUGUGAGUCUGCUGGGGCAGCCCUAGCGAGGCACACAGAGGCCACCUGGGAACCGACGGUGUCCACUGAUGGACGUUUUCCUGGGCUGAAGUAUUUCAGAUGCCCAGUGUACUCCCAGCCCUCACAGCGGUCAGUUCUGCUUCACGGGUUUCCCACAUGAUUUGGCUAAGACGUCAGCCGGCAAAGACGCUUGGGUUGGCUUUAGACAUUACGAAUAAAAGGAAGCUGCGGGAGGCGGUCAAAGUCUGAGACAUGACAGGUCAAAGCUGAAAUCACAGGGGGCUGCGUUGCCUUUUGAUGGGAGAGCCAGAGGCUGCAUUCCGAAGAUUGCACGAUGCCAGCUCCCAACUGCGAGGGGGCAGAUUUGUUGGAAUUUCUCAAAUCCAGUCUUUGAUACAUGCGUUGUUCCUUCAAUUGCUAAUAAACGGUCUUGGGGAGAAAAAA